UACGUAGGUGGCAAGCGUUGUCCGGAAUUAUUGGGCGUAAAGCGCGCGCAGGCGGUUCCUUAAGUCUGAUGUGAAAGCCCCCGGCUCAACCGGGGAGGGUCAUUGGAAACUGGGGAACUUGAGUGCAGAAGAGAAGAGCGGAAUUCCACGUGUAGCGGUGAAAUGCGUAGAGAUGUGGAGGAACACCAGUGGCGAAGGCGGCUCUUUGGUCUGUAACUGACGCUGAGGCGCGAAAGCGUGGGUAGCAAACAGG
This 253-nucleotide ribosomal RNA is filed under the name uncultured bacterium. RNAcentral's name for it is "partial 16S ribosomal RNA". It matches the Rfam family "Bacterial small subunit ribosomal RNA", at positions 524 to 776 of the family's 1533-position model. The record is from RNAcentral.